AGACUCCUCACUGUGUCCAGCUGCAGACACACAGACAUACUCCUUAAACACUGGAUCUGUUCAAGUGUUUGCACAAGCCACCUGUUGUAAUGAAUCAAACAACUGCAACAAAAAUACCCCAUCACCGCCGACCGCCCCUGGACCUGGCUCCCUGCGAUGUCUGACCUGUGAUCCUCUGACAGGCCCAUGCAAUACUUCUAUACAAUGUAACACACUGGAGACCAACUGCUUCAUAACAACAGCAACAACAACUUCAUCAUCGAUCCCAGUCCACGGCUGUGCCUCACCAAACACAUGCUCCAACUCUGUUCUGAACA
Boleophthalmus pectinirostris (great blue-spotted mudskipper) is the source of this 317-nucleotide long non-coding RNA. RefSeq lists it as uncharacterized. The transcript is spliced from 3 exons. Lineage: Eukaryota; Metazoa; Chordata; Actinopteri; Gobiiformes; Gobiidae. The record is from RefSeq and is a predicted model, not a curated record.